AGAGAUGCACUGGGUAUAAAGCGUGCGCAGGCGGUUUUGUAAGACAGAGGUGAAAUCCCCGGGCUCAACCUGGGAACUGCCUUUGUGACUGCAAGGCUGGAGUGCGGCAGAGGGGGAUGGAAUUCCGCGUGUAGCAGUGAAAUGCGUAGAUAUGCGGAGGAACACCGAUGGCGAAGGCAAUCCCCUGGGCCUGCACUGACGCUCAUGCACGAAAGCGUGGGGAGCAAACA
RNAcentral lists this ribosomal RNA (230 nucleotides) under uncultured Alicycliphilus sp. Its description in RNAcentral is "partial 16S ribosomal RNA". It matches the Rfam family "Bacterial small subunit ribosomal RNA", at positions 548 to 774 of the family's 1533-position model. Lineage: Bacteria; Pseudomonadati; Pseudomonadota; Betaproteobacteria; Burkholderiales; Comamonadaceae. The record is from RNAcentral.